RNAcentral lists this unclassified non-coding RNA (240 nucleotides) under Glomeraceae sp. RNAcentral describes it as "partial contains 5.8S ribosomal RNA and internal transcribed spacer 2". The stretch from base 1 to 71 matches the Rfam family "5.8S ribosomal RNA", at positions 84 to 154 of the family's 154-position model. The record is from RNAcentral. Lineage: Eukaryota; Fungi; Glomeromycota; Glomeromycetes; Glomerales; Glomeraceae.
GUGAAUCAUCAAAUCUUUGAACGCAAAUUGCGCUUCCUAGCAUCCCGGGAAGUAUGCCUGUUUGAGGGUCAGUAUUAACAAAAAAAUCGGUUUGGUUGCAAAUUGUGACGUUUCCGGAGUUUGGGCUAUCUUAACUUUUUUGGUUAAGGGGCUUAAAAUUGACCUUUUUUGCGCAUUUUUAUACGUACAUAAAUUUUUUUUUUUAUUCUUCUUUUUUUUAUUCCAAAAUCUUAUUAGAUG